UGGGUCGGCUGGAUGGUCGCGUCGCGCAUGGUCCGCCAUGACGCGCCGAGGAACGUCCGGGCUCCAGAGGGCAGGGCGGUGGGUAACACCCACCCGGAGAGAUCCGCGAGACAGUGCCACAGAGAGCAGACCGCCGGCGCGAGCCGGUAAGGGUGAAAGGGCGGUGUAAGAGACCACCGGGGUCGUGGUGACACGACCCGCACGGCAAACCUCGCCCGGAGCAAGGCCAGACAGGGGAUGACGACGCGGCCCGCCGAGUCCCCGGGUAGGCCGCUGGAGCGGCACGGCAACGUGUCGCCGAGAGAGAUGACCAUCCACGGGGCGCAAGCCCCCGGACAGAACCCGGCGUACAGGCCGGCCCAUUCG
This 366-nucleotide RNase P RNA is filed under the name Microbacterium horticulturae. RNAcentral describes it as "Microbacterium sp. KACC 23027 RNase P RNA component class A". It matches the Rfam family "Bacterial RNase P class A". From Rfam's summary of the family: Ribonuclease P (RNase P) is a ubiquitous endoribonuclease, found in archaea, bacteria and eukarya as well as chloroplasts and mitochondria. Its best characterised activity is the generation of mature 5'-ends of tRNAs by cleaving the 5'-leader elements of precursor-tRNAs. Cellular RNase Ps are ribonucleoproteins. Lineage: Bacteria; Bacillati; Actinomycetota; Actinomycetes; Micrococcales; Microbacteriaceae. The record is from RNAcentral.